UACAGAGGGUGCGAGCGUUAAUCGGAAUUACUGAGCGUAAAGCGCGCGUAGGCGGUUUUGUAAGUCGGGUGUGAAAUCCCCAAGCUUAACUUGGGAACUGCAUUCGAGACUGCAUAGCUAGAGUAUGGGAGAGGGAAGUGGAAUUUCAGGUGUAGCGGUGAAAUGCGUAGAUAUCUGAAGGAACAUCAGUGGCGAAAGCGACUUCCUGGACCAAUACUGACGCUCAUGUGCGAAAGCGUGGGGAGCAAACAGG
This 253-nucleotide ribosomal RNA is filed under the name uncultured bacterium. Its description in RNAcentral is "partial 16S ribosomal RNA". It matches the Rfam family "Bacterial small subunit ribosomal RNA", at positions 524 to 776 of the family's 1533-position model. The record is from RNAcentral.